GUAGGGUGCGAGCGUUGUCCGGAAUUAUUGGGCGUAAAGGGCUCGUAGGCGGUCUGUCGCGUCGAAAGUGAAAACUCAGGGCUUAACCCUGAGCCUGCUUCCGAUACGGGCAGACUAGAGGUAUGCAGGGGAGAACGGAAUUCCUGGUAUAGCGGUGGAAUGCGCAGAUAUCAGGAGGAACACCGGUGGCGAAGGCGGUUCUCUGGGCAUUACCUGACGCUGAGGAGCGAAAGUGUGGGGAGCGAACAGGAUUAGAUACCCUGGUAGUCCACACCGUAAACGUUGGGCGCUAGGUGUGGGACUCAUUCCACGAGUUCCGUGCCGCAGCUAACGCAUUAAGCGCCCCGCCUGGGGAGUACGGCCGCAAGGCUA
Molecule: ribosomal RNA, 372 nt
Filed under: uncultured bacterium
Lineage: Bacteria
Description: bacterial SSU rRNA
Rfam family: Bacterial small subunit ribosomal RNA
Source: RNAcentral